GGCUGGUUAGCUCAGUGGUUUGAGCACGGUGCUCAAAGGACAAGGACAACACUGGGAUCGCGGGUUCGAUUCCCGCUCGGUCC
This 83-nucleotide transfer RNA is filed under the name Apaloderma vittatum (bar-tailed trogon). It matches the Rfam family "tRNA". Rfam says of the family: Transfer RNA (tRNA) molecules are approximately 80 nucleotides in length. Their secondary structure includes four short double-helical elements and three loops (D, anti-codon, and T loops). Lineage: Eukaryota; Metazoa; Chordata; Aves; Trogoniformes; Trogonidae. The record is from Rfam by way of RNAcentral.